UUUGACAAGAUGGCGGCAGGAGACAGUGGCGUUGGUGGGAAGCGCAGCUCGAAAAGCGAUGCUGAUUCUGGUUUCCUGGGGCUGCGGCCCACUUCGGUGGACCCAGCGCUGAGGCGGCGGCGGCGAGGCCCAAGAAAUAAGAAGCGGGGCUGGCGGCGGCUUGCUCAGGAGCCGCUGGGGCUGGAGGUUGACCAGUUCCUGGAAGACGUGCGGCUACAGGAGCGCACGAGCGGUGGCUUGCUGUCAGAGGCCCCAAAUGAAAAACUCUUCUUCGUGGACACUGGCUCCAAGGAAAAAGGGCUGACAAAGAAGAGAACCAAAGUCCAAAAGAAGUCACUGCUUCUCAAGAAACCCCUUCGGGUUGACCUCAUCCUCGAGAACACAUCCAAAGUCCCUGCUCCCAAAGACGUCCUCGCCCACCAGGUCCCCAACGCCAAGAAGCUCAGGCGGAAGGAGCAGCUAUGGGAGAAGCUGGCCAAGCAGGGCGAGCUGCCCCGGGAGGUGCGCAGGGCCCAGGCCCGGCUCCUCAACCCUCCAGCGGCCAGGGCCAAGCCCGGGCCCCAGGACACCGUGGAACGGCCCUUCUACGACCUCUGGGCCUCAGACAACCCCCUGGACAGGCCGUUGGUUGGCCAGGAUGAGUUUUUCCUGGAGCAGACCAAGAAGAAAGGAGUGAAGCGGCCACAACGCCUGCACACCAAGCCGUCCCAGGCACCCGCCGUGGAGGUGGCGCCUGCUGGAGCUUCCUACAACCCAUCCUUUGAAGACCACCAGGUACACCGCCCCGUCCAGGCCUCCCUCCUCAGCGGGCUCUGCCUCUCUGUCAGGCCUUCAAUAGCUUCCUCCCUGUGCUGGGUGGUGCUGGGAACUCCAGUGACCCAGACAG
This 886-nucleotide small RNA is filed under the name Pongo abelii (Sumatran orangutan). Its description in RNAcentral is "retained intron". The record is from RNAcentral. Lineage: Eukaryota; Metazoa; Chordata; Mammalia; Primates; Hominidae.